This 395-nucleotide ribosomal RNA is filed under the name Salmonella enterica subsp. enterica serovar Derby. RNAcentral's name for it is "bacterial SSU rRNA". It matches the Rfam family "Bacterial small subunit ribosomal RNA", at positions 576 to 970 of the family's 1533-position model. The record is from RNAcentral. RNAcentral also lists the same sequence under 6 other names. Lineage: Bacteria; Pseudomonadati; Pseudomonadota; Gammaproteobacteria; Enterobacterales; Enterobacteriaceae.
CGGUCUGUCAAGUCGGAUGUGAAAUCCCCGGGCUCAACCUGGGAACUGCAUUCGAAACUGGCAGGCUUGAGUCUUGUAGAGGGGGGUAGAAUUCCAGGUGUAGCGGUGAAAUGCGUAGAGAUCUGGAGGAAUACCGGUGGCGAAGGCGGCCCCCUGGACAAAGACUGACGCUCAGGUGCGAAAGCGUGGGGAGCAAACAGGAUUAGAUACCCUGGUAGUCCACGCCGUAAACGAUGUCUACUUGGAGGUUGUGCCCUUGAGGCGUGGCUUCCGGAGCUAACGCGUUAAGUAGACCGCCUGGGGAGUACGGCCGCAAGGUUAAAACUCAAAUGAAUUGACGGGGGCCCGCACAAGCGGUGGAGCAUGUGGUUUAAUUCGAUGCAACGCGAAGAACC